GGCCCUCCUGGACCGAGGGUCCACUGGGCCCUUUUCCCGCCGCCCCUCUGCCCUGGCCGUAGACGGUGACCUUCGGACCGGCCCUGGUCGAGCCUAGUGCUUGGCCCGGAAAUUCUGGAUGCUGGUUUCUUUCUCUCGAAAGCGACCUCUGCAAAGACAAAUACCAUCCGGUGGGAAGAACUGGGAAUCCGUUGGGGAAGAGCCCCCCAACCCUCACACCCACUUGCAAGUAUCUGCCACACCCAAGAUGGCAGGGUGAAGCCGGAGAGGAGUUUCUCAGGGAGGAAGGGGAGGUGAGGGGCCAGGGCGCUGGCCUCACCGGCUUCUCAUUUUCCCCAGAGAUGACCUAGUGUGAUCCACUUCCUCUUGUCUUUUUUUGUUCAUUACUGGGUCGGUUAUUUAAACUCUCUGUAUCUCAGUUCACUUAUCAAUAAAAUGAUAAAUAAUA
Molecule: long non-coding RNA, 448 nt
Filed under: Homo sapiens (human)
Lineage: Eukaryota; Metazoa; Chordata; Mammalia; Primates; Hominidae
Description: HSALNT0378740
Source: RNAcentral